GUUGAAGAACGUAGUGAAAUGCGAUAAGUAGUGUGAAUUGCAGAAUUCAGUGAAUCAUCGAAUCUUUGAACGCACAUUGCGCCCUGUGGUAUUCCGCAGGGCAUCCCUGUUCGAGCGUCAUUGACACCCUCAAGCUCUGCUUGGUCUUGGGCGUUUGUGCCUGCCGUUGCGCAGGGACUCGCCUCAAACUCAUUGGCAGCCUGCCUUUGCCGGUCUUUGCACAGCACAGUCGUGCCAAAGCCGCGGUGAGCAGGCGCUCCACAAGCCCUUUUCAGCUUGACCUCGGAUCAGGUAGGAAUACCCGCUGAACUUAAGCAUAUCAAUAAGCGGAGGA
RNAcentral lists this unclassified non-coding RNA (334 nucleotides) under soil metagenome. Its description in RNAcentral is "partial contains 5.8S ribosomal RNA, internal transcribed spacer 2, and large subunit ribosomal RNA". The stretch from base 1 to 120 matches the Rfam family "5.8S ribosomal RNA", at positions 35 to 154 of the family's 154-position model. The record is from RNAcentral.